UGCGGCUGGAUCCCCUCCUUUCUAAGGAGUUGCUUCUCCUCGAGCUGGGCGUUCGCUCAGCGAGCAGGAGACAACACCCAGUUGAUGCACUGGCCGUCCGUUCGAUCAGACCUCACCCGGUCGUAGGUUUCCCUCCUGGGUGCCGGCUGACGAGCUCGACGCAAUCCUCUCUUCCGUUUUGAAGGAGCCGCACGCACCUCUGUGCGCUGCUUCUUCGUGUUGGCCGAUCAGGCGCGUCUUGGCGCCGAUCCGCCUCGCCCUUUGAGAACUGCAGAGCGAGCACGAGCAUCUUUGUUCUUCCAAGCUACAAAGAGCCAACGGUGGAUGCCUUGGCGUCUACUACCGAUGAAGGACGUGGGUAGCUGCGAAAAGCCACGGGGAGCUGCUGACCAAGCGUUGAUCCGUGGAUGUCCGAAUGGGGAAACCCGG
Molecule: unclassified non-coding RNA, 429 nt
Filed under: uncultured bacterium
Lineage: Bacteria
Description: partial contains 16S ribosomal RNA, 16S-23S ribosomal RNA intergenic spacer, and 23S ribosomal RNA
Rfam family: Bacterial large subunit ribosomal RNA (bases 298-429)
Source: RNAcentral